Long non-coding RNA from Nematostella vectensis (starlet sea anemone), 911 nucleotides. RefSeq lists it as uncharacterized. Lineage: Eukaryota; Metazoa; Cnidaria; Anthozoa; Actiniaria; Edwardsiidae. The transcript has 3 exons. The record is from RefSeq and is a predicted model, not a curated record.
CUCACUUUUAGUGUUUUUAUGUAAUUUUUCCUUUGAGAGGCAAUUUAUUCUUGCAAGGUCCGAUUACAAUUGGGCUUCCUGUGGUCGAGAGGGGUACUUGGUCUACCCAUAAUUCUCUGGUUUGGAUUUUCGGGCCUUUUCACGGUUUCAGCCAUCUUGCUUGUUCACUCGACGAGACGAGGUCAAGUUCGGUUGGGUUCUCGUACGAAUUUCUCUCCUGAAACCAAAAACUACAUCGCACUCAUCAGCAAAGAAAGUAGCAAAUGUCAGUGAGUUGAUACUGGUAGAGAGAAGGAUGACAUUUUUAAAUACCCGCGAAGGUUUAUUGAAUAUGCAACAAACAACAGCAUGUUCGACCCGAGAAAAGAUUCUUCAUUGCCAAACAGUCACACCACAGGACAAACAGACCAAGGGUACUGUAUUCAGGAUUACUGGCUCCAUCCCAGCUGGUAACUACAUCCAGUUUCCAUGCACCAGCUCCCAGACGCUAGGGCUGACAGGUUGAUACAUCUACACCAUGUUUAAACCUAUUCCCACAAAAAACUUUGUGGUUCACUUGGAUGUUGCGACGGAGGAUGGUUUGGCUGUAAGAGUGUCUCUCUCCAACCUCUUCUAAGAGUUGAAGUCGACGCCCACAUGGCUCCAGUUUCCAUUUGUCUCUAACCCAUCUCCUAACUCUGUUGAGGCAGUUACCUCCUCUAAGGCUUCAGUAUCAAGACCUUGCCGAAGAGAGAAAAAAGCCCAAUUCCAAAUGAUCAAGCUUAUAGUGGCCAACAAAGCUUCCAAAUCCCGAGUAAAUCAACACACAAUGUACAGCAAUACUAAGUGAGUAUAUUGUCUUAGAGUGGUUUUUCAUAAUCCUGUGCAACAAAAUGUAUUUGUUAAAGUGUAAUAGUCAAGCCAGAACAAAA